Molecule: non-coding RNA, 28 nt
Filed under: Trypanosoma brucei brucei
Lineage: Eukaryota; Euglenozoa; Kinetoplastea; Trypanosomatida; Trypanosomatidae
Source: RNAcentral
AUAGAUGGUGUGAUUAGAGCGUUAUAAU